UCCUGGUUAGCUCAGUUGGUAGAGCGAUUGCCCCAGGGAAGGCAUUGGUCCCGGGUUCGAUCCCCGGACCAGGAC
Rhipicephalus sanguineus (brown dog tick) is the source of this 75-nucleotide non-coding RNA. The record is from the annotation of a RefSeq genome assembly. Lineage: Eukaryota; Metazoa; Arthropoda; Arachnida; Ixodida; Ixodidae.